GUAGGUGGCAAGCGUUGUCCGGAAUUAUUGGGCGUUAAAGCGCGCGCAGGCGGUUCGUUUAAGUCUGAUGUGAAAGCCCACGGGCUCAACCGUGGAGGGUCAUUGGAAACUGGAGAACUUGAGUACAGAAGAGGAAAGCGGAAUUCCACGUGUAGCGGUGAAGUGCGUAGAGAUGUGGAGGAACACCAGUGGCGAAGGCGGCUUUCUGGUCUGUAACUGACGCUGAGGCGCGAAAGCGUGGGGGGGCAAACAGGAUUAGAUACCCUGGUAGUCCACGCCGUAAACGAUGAGUGCUAAGUGUUAGGGGGUUUCCGCCCCUUAGUGCUGCAGCUAACGCAUUAAGCACUCCGCCUGGGGAGUACGGCCGCAAAGGCUG
Molecule: ribosomal RNA, 376 nt
Filed under: uncultured organism
Description: partial 16S ribosomal RNA
Rfam family: Bacterial small subunit ribosomal RNA
Source: RNAcentral